Molecule: long non-coding RNA, 1029 nt
Organism: Zea mays
Lineage: Eukaryota; Viridiplantae; Streptophyta; Magnoliopsida; Poales; Poaceae
Exons: 3
Source: RefSeq, a predicted model, not a curated record
UCCAAUCGUCUUUAGGACCGAGCCCGCCGAUUCCCCGUUCCUCUCCUCCCUCCUUGAACCCAGGACCGAUUCCCCAUUCCUCUCCUCCCUCCCCGAACCCGAGCCCAUCUUCACCAGCGUGGUGCAGUGGCCUGCGGCGAACGCGACACGACGGCCUACCUACGGGCACAGAGCACCGGGCGGACGGAGCACCGGGUGGACGGAUCCGCAUGCGCGCGCUGCUCCGGCUCCUAGGAGCGAGCCCGAGAGAGAAGCGUCGCCGGCACCACAUCUCACCUGCCUCCUUCCCAACGACGGUGCUGCUCCUCCGGUUCCUCAUCGAGGCUCCGGCAUUUGUCGGCCCCGCUGCUCCGCGGCCUUCUCUCUAGCACCGGCCGGCGGAUCUAGCCUCGAUAGGCUGGCAGGAGCUAGCGGCCACGACGCUCGUGGCCCGUGUACUCCCAACAACAGCGCCGCUGCUCUAGCUCCCCAUCGACGCUCCGGGAUUUGUCCGCCCUGCCGUUCCGCGGCCUUCGGCGCACCCCUGCUACCCCGACUGUCCCUGCCCUAUUCUCGUUCUCUAUGGCAUGAGCAUCGGCCGUCAGAUCUAGCCUCGGGAGGCCUGGCAAGACCUAGUACCCACGACACAUCGUGUCCCCGUGCUCCACAGCCCCCUGCUCUGCCAGUUUGAGUGACUGUCUGGUAGCGACACCACCCCUGCUCUCAUCGUACAUCCUGCCUCUAGCCAACCCCUUAGCAUGUCACGUGCGAGCAACCCCUUCAAUGCAGGACAUGGAUGGCCCAGGUACGGGUCUGUGCUGCUCACCCGCUGCCCCGAGUGCAAACGUCCAGAGCCACUAGUGAGGCUCAUAUCGAAAAGGUUCAUGAAAAAUGCAAAUUUUUCAUGUGGAUGGAUGAUUACAUUAAGAUGGUCGAAGGGACAGGGUUUACUCGCGGCCUGGGGGAGAUGAUGGCAUCUAAUUUUGGGGACGAACGAGUGGCAGCAAUUAGGGCAGAUGUUACUGCGAAUUGGGACAUGUUUACUACAGA